UGGAAGGGACGCAUUUAUUAG
Molecule: non-coding RNA, 21 nt
Filed under: Arabidopsis thaliana (thale cress)
Lineage: Eukaryota; Viridiplantae; Streptophyta; Magnoliopsida; Brassicales; Brassicaceae
Source: RNAcentral